RNAcentral lists this transfer RNA (77 nucleotides) under Ruminiclostridium sp. RNAcentral's name for it is "tRNA-Arg". It matches the Rfam family "tRNA". Rfam says of the family: Transfer RNA (tRNA) molecules are approximately 80 nucleotides in length. RNAcentral also lists the same sequence under 1 other name. Lineage: Bacteria; Bacillati; Bacillota; Clostridia; Eubacteriales; Oscillospiraceae. The record is from RNAcentral.
GUCGCUGUAGCUCAGCAGGAUAGAGCGACCGCCUCCUAAGCGGUAGGCCGGAGGUUCGAAUCCCCUCAGCGACGCCA